UGCACUGUGUAAUAUGCAAAGGGAGUG
Molecule: non-coding RNA, 27 nt
Filed under: Homo sapiens (human)
Lineage: Eukaryota; Metazoa; Chordata; Mammalia; Primates; Hominidae
Source: RNAcentral